This 460-nucleotide ribosomal RNA is filed under the name uncultured bacterium. RNAcentral's name for it is "partial 16S ribosomal RNA". It matches the Rfam family "Bacterial small subunit ribosomal RNA", at positions 338 to 795 of the family's 1533-position model. The record is from RNAcentral.
CCUACGGGAGGCUGCAGUGAGGAAUAUUGGUCAAUGGACGAGAGUCUGAACCAGCCAAGUAGCGUGAAGGAUGACUGCCCUAUGGGUUGUAAACUUCUUUUAUAUGGGAAUAAAACGAUACACGUGUGGGAUUUGGUAUGUCCCAUAUGAAUAAGGAUCGGCUAACUCCGUGCCAGCAGCCGCGGUAAUACGGAGGAUCCGAGCGUUAUCCGGAUUUAUUGGGUUUAAAGGGCGCGUAGGUGGAUUGUUAAGUCAGUUGUGAAAGUUUGCGGCUCAACCGUAAAAUUGCAGUUGAAACUUGCAGUCUUGAGUACAGUAGAGGUGGGCGGAAUUCGUGGUGUAGCGGUGAAAUGCUUAGAUAUCACGAAGAACUCCGAUUGCGAAGGCAGUUCACUGGACUGCAACUGACACUGAGGCUCGAAAGUGUGGGUAUCAAACAGGAUUAGAUACCCUGGUAGUC